AACGUGCGCGAAGAUCGUCCUCUUUCCGCCGGAGACUGGGUUGAAUGAGAUCCUGUAGAUAUGGAUUGGAAGAAGUGCACUGUGCCUGCAAAUUGGCACAACUGUGGCUAACCAUGCUAAGAUGCUGAUGGAUCACUGACAGCUGUAUCUCUGAAACUUGAGCAGUCUAUCAGCAGUGUAAACAGACUUUCAUGUAAUUGCAGGUGCCAUGGUAACUAAUCGAAUACUGACUGCAGCAGCCCAGAUUUUUCAGCAUUAACUUGUAGCAGGCUAAUGGUUAUGAAUUUGGAUGAAUUCUGAAACUGGUACAGAAUGGUUGAUCCAAUCCUUAAUUGCAACACCGCUAACUGCUUGAGAUGCACAUUCAGGAUGUUUAUCUGUGCUUUCUGUUUUUGAAUAAAAGUUCACUUAAUGUA
Non-coding RNA from Chiloscyllium plagiosum (whitespotted bambooshark), 416 nucleotides. The record is from RefSeq and is a predicted model, not a curated record. Lineage: Eukaryota; Metazoa; Chordata; Chondrichthyes; Orectolobiformes; Hemiscylliidae.